Molecule: non-coding RNA, 113 nt
Organism: Acanthosepion pharaonis
Lineage: Eukaryota; Metazoa; Mollusca; Cephalopoda; Sepiida; Sepiidae
Source: the annotation of a GenBank genome assembly
UACGGCUAAAUCACGUUGAAAGACCGGUUCUCGUCCGAUCACCGAAGUUAAGCAACGUUGAGCUUUAUCCAUACCUAGACGGCUGACCGUUUGUGAUCAUCAGGUGCUGUAAG